ACAGGGCUCCACAAGGACAUGAAUACCAGGUGGCAGGGAUCACUGGGCCAUCUCUCUAAAUCACGAAUGAAACAUUUGCAACCUGUGUCUCCCAAACAUGAUAUGUCUCAAUCAUCAAAGGAUCUACAGUGACUACAAUAACCAAGUGCUACAAAAACGCUGUGACGAGGAAUCUGAACAACAGAGAUUUGAGGGAAACAAAACACUUUCGACGAAGGUCCUGCUGCUUGUCUUCAGCUUGGUACCAAUUAGAGCUUCACUGGAGGUGAAAAGAAAAUACUUCAUGUCUUGCUGUCUGAAGCUCCAGAGGGGAUGGAGGAGCAGAGGAAACCUUGGUGUCUUCCAACUGGUAAGAAGUAGUUGAAGCUGAGCUGAACAUGUCAUCUGUUCUUAAAUUUAUCAAUUAGGGUA
RNAcentral lists this long non-coding RNA (411 nucleotides) under Homo sapiens (human). RNAcentral describes it as "HSALNT0373695". The record is from RNAcentral. Lineage: Eukaryota; Metazoa; Chordata; Mammalia; Primates; Hominidae.